AACGCACGAGACCUGCGGACCUGCGGAAGGAUCAUUAGUGAACGCCCUCGCGGGCUUAUAACUAUUCCAAACCUCUGUGAACCGUGCCCUUCGGGGCUAUUUUACAAACAUGGUGUAAUGAACGUCAUAUAUCAUAACAAAACAAAACUUUCAACAAUGGAUCUCU
Molecule: unclassified non-coding RNA, 166 nt
Filed under: soil metagenome
Description: partial contains 5.8S ribosomal RNA, internal transcribed spacer 2, and large subunit ribosomal RNA
Source: RNAcentral